UAUUCUAUUGAUCAAUCUUAUCUAGUACAAUAGCAUUAAAGAAGAAAAUAAAUUAAAAUCUGGUCCAUUGUAUUGUCCAAACAGGUCAUAAAGGUUUAUAUUUCCCAACAAAAUACUGGGCUUCUUUCUGUUCUUCACACGAGGAUGCCGAUGCAGUACAAUAGCAUUUUCAACUCAUUCACUUCGAAGUUCACAUGAUCAUUUUAAUAAAUUCCCACAAGUAUUGCAAAAUAUAUAAAAAUGUGAAAAAUAUUAGAAAAUUUUUAGAGCUGGAGUUGCAGACUUGCAGCCAAAAUGAAAUCCAAGAUUUUUGGAAAAUUAGAUCAAUAUCACGUGCACGAAUCACCGAACAUCAAAUAACUAAAAGUCUAAAAGAAUCUUGCAUUUUUUGAAGUGGAGUGCGACUGUGUGCACGCCUGCUGGACUGGACUCGAUGGCGGACCUGGCGCCGAUGCUGUCUGCAACGCUUGCUGGCUGCUGCGGCCUGCGGUAGUCGUGGACUGGUGGAUCGGUGGUUGACGGCUAAGACGGGGAGACUGGAGAGCCCUAGAUUGGUAAUGGUGGGUCGUGACAAUGUGGGGAAAAAUCUGGGACUCUGGUCACUCUGCGUCUCUGCAUCGGGUUGCUGCUUGCUCGAUAUAUGGUAUGGAGUGGAGCAGGUCAUUUGGGCUUCUUCAAUUGGGCCGGAUUUUAAAAAAAAAUUCGAAGCCCAACAGCCAACACCCAAGCCAACAGUCACGACACUGAAGGAAAAAAAAAAAAAAAAAAAAAAAAAAACUAACUCCGGUGGCCGGCGUGGCGAUUCCGGUGAAGCCAGCUAGGGCGGCCGCCCUAGCUGCCCAUAAGCUACAUCCGCCACUGCUACCUACGAAGGUCCUUGAAAUCUUUAUGACAAUAAGACUAGACAAAAAUGAAAGAAAGAUUCCCCCUCUUUAUAGAGUUUCCUUGCUUUCCCUUGUUCAUCAAAUGCCUAUCUUGCGCUUGCUCAUGCUGAUAUUUUAAAUGGAAAUUUGUAUUUUC
RNAcentral lists this long non-coding RNA (1020 nucleotides) under Olea europaea subsp. europaea. Lineage: Eukaryota; Viridiplantae; Streptophyta; Magnoliopsida; Lamiales; Oleaceae. The record is from RNAcentral.